Molecule: long non-coding RNA, 557 nt
Organism: Eleginops maclovinus (Patagonian blennie)
Lineage: Eukaryota; Metazoa; Chordata; Actinopteri; Perciformes; Eleginopidae
Exons: 3
Source: RefSeq, a predicted model, not a curated record
UCAGGCACAAAUGGAAUCACCUGCGUGGGUUGGCCAUGCCCUCUCCUCUGUUUGGCCAGGCUCUCACUGCUCACUGCAUUUUCUGAGCAGGCUAGCUUUCUAGCAUUAUGAUUGUGUAGCUUCAGGAUGGCCUUCUUGAGGAAAUAAUUGUGUUUGAACCAAACUCCCUGCUGAAAUUGCUAUCACUAAAGGACCCAGUUUGCCUGCAAUUCCUCCUAUCAUCUUUGGGCCUCAAACACAGCCUCAUUCUGGAGGUAGGUUCUUGCUGUUGUUCCUGUUUUGACUUCACUCCACAAGGACUUCUACCAAGACUGGUGCGACGAAGUUCCUCUGCAGACGCUCAGUGUGGCAGGAGCAGGAUCGCCGCAUCUGUCGCUGACAGUGAUGAAACAACCGUUUAACGCAAGGCGACAACCAACACGUGUAGAAUCAUCACUUUCUCAAGCUGAUGGCCUCAAAUUCGCCUUCUGGAUUUAAACGUAUACCUGUUGACUAAAGCUUACUGACAUGUACCCAAACACUAGUAUGUGAUAACUCUUCAUACAAUUGAACACAGC